Molecule: ribosomal RNA, 506 nt
Filed under: uncultured bacterium
Lineage: Bacteria
Description: partial 16S ribosomal RNA
Rfam family: Bacterial small subunit ribosomal RNA
Source: RNAcentral
AGUGAACGCUGGCGGUAGGCCUAACACAUGCAAGUCGAACGGCAGCACAGGAGAGCUUGCUCUCUGGGUGGCGAGUGGCGGACGGGUGAGGAAUACAUCGGAAUCUACUUUUUCGUGGGGGAUAACGUAGGGAAACUUACGCUAAUACCGCAUACGACCUACGGGUGAAAGCAGGGGACCUUCGGGCCUUGCGCGAUUGAAUGAGCCGAUGUCGGAUUAGCUAGUUGGAGGGGUAAAGGCCCACCAAGGCGACGAUCCGUAGCUGGUCUGAGAGGAUGAUCAGCCACACUGGAACUGAGACACGGUCCAGACUCCUACGGGAGGCAGCAGUGGGGAAUAUUGGACAAUGGGCGCAAGCCUGAUCCAGCCAUACCGCGUGGGUGAAGAAGGCCUUCGGGUUGUAAAGCCCUUUUGUUGGGAAAGAAAUCCAGCUGGCUAAUACUCGGUUGGGAUGACGGUACCCAAAGAAUAAGCACCGGCUAACUUCGUGCCAGCAGCCGCGGUAA